UACAGAGGUGGCGAACGUUGUUCGGAUUUACUGGGCGUAAAGGGUCCGCAGGCGGAACGGUAUGUCGGAUGUGAAAGCUCACAGCUCAACUGUGGAAUUGCAUUCGAAACUGCCGAUCUAGAGUACUGGAGGGGAGAAGGGAAUUCUUGGUGUAGCGGUGAAAUGCGUAGAUAUCAAGAAGAACACCGGUGGCGAAGGCGCUUCUCUGGACAGAUACUGACGCUCAUGGACGAAAGUUAGGGUAGCGAAAGGG
This 253-nucleotide ribosomal RNA is filed under the name uncultured bacterium. RNAcentral's name for it is "partial 16S ribosomal RNA". It matches the Rfam family "Bacterial small subunit ribosomal RNA", at positions 524 to 776 of the family's 1533-position model. The record is from RNAcentral.